AGCAGUAGCCGCGGUAGUACGAAGGGUGCAAGCGUUAAUCGGAAUCACUGGCGUAAAGCGUGCGUAGGCGGUGAGUUAAGUCUGCUGUGAAAUCCCCGGGCUCAACCUGGGGAUGGCAGUGGAUACUGGCUCGCUAGAGUGUGUCAGAGGAUGGUGGAAUUCCCGGUGUAGCGGUGAAAUGCGUAGAGAUCGGGAGGAACAUCAGUGGUGAAGGCGGCCAUCUGGGACAACACUGACGCUGAGGCACGGAAGCGUGGGGAGCAAACAGGAUUAGAUACCCCCGUAGUCCCUGUCUCUUAUACA
Molecule: ribosomal RNA, 303 nt
Filed under: uncultured bacterium
Lineage: Bacteria
Description: partial 16S ribosomal RNA
Rfam family: Bacterial small subunit ribosomal RNA
Source: RNAcentral